This 709-nucleotide ribosomal RNA is filed under the name Paraburkholderia sp. RNAcentral's name for it is "bacterial SSU rRNA". It matches the Rfam family "Bacterial small subunit ribosomal RNA", at positions 347 to 1047 of the family's 1533-position model. Lineage: Bacteria; Pseudomonadati; Pseudomonadota; Betaproteobacteria; Burkholderiales; Burkholderiaceae. The record is from RNAcentral.
GGCAGCAGUGGGGAAUUUUGGACAAUGGGCGAAAGCAUGAUCCAGCAAUGCCGCGUGUGUGAAGAAGGCCUUCGGGUUGUAAAGCACUUUUGUCCGGAAAGAAAACCUCCGCCCUAAUAUGGUGGGGGGAUGACGGUACCGGAAGAAUAAGCACCGGCUAACUACGUGCCAGCAGCCGCGGUAAUACGUAGGGUGCAAGCGUUAAUCGGAAUUACUGGGCGUAAAGCGUGCGCAGGCGGUCCGCUAAGACAGAUGUGAAAUCCCCGGGCUUAACCUGGGAACUGCAUUUGUGACUGGCGGGCUAGAGUAUGGCAGAGGGGGGUAGAAUUCCACGUGUAGCAGUGAAAUGCGUAGAGAUGUGGAGGAAUACCGAUGGCGAAGGCAGCCCCCUGGGCCAAUACUGACGCUCAUGCACGAAAGCGUGGGGAGCAAACAGGAUUAGAUACCCUGGUAGUCCACGCCCUAAACGAUGUCAACUAGUUGUUGGGGAUUCAUUUCCUUAGUAACGUAGCUAACGCGUGAAGUUGACCGCCUGGGGAGUACGGUCGCAAGAUUAAAACUCAAAGGAAUUGACGGGGACCCGCACAAGCGGUGGAUGAUGUGGAUUAAUUCGAUGCAACGCGAAAAACCUUACCUACCCUUGACAUGUAUGGAACCCUGCUGAGAGGUGGGGGUGCCCGAAAGGGAGCCAUAACACAGGUGCUGCAUG